CCUACGGGUGGCAGCAGUGAGGAAUAUUGGUCAAUGGGCGAGAGCCUGAACCAGCCAAGUCGCGUGAAGGAUGACGGCCCUACGGGUUGUAAACUUCUUUUGUCAGGGAGCAAUUGGGUCCACGCGUGGGCUUAGCGAGAGUACCUGAAGAAAAAGCAUCGGCUAACUCCGUGCCAGCAGCCGCGGUAAUACGGAGGAUGCGAGCGUUAUCCGGAUUUAUUGGGUUUAAGGGGUGCGUAGGCGGAAUAUCAAGUCAGCUGUAAAAUCGCGCGGCUCAACCGCGCCACGCAGUUGAAACUGGACGCCUUGAGUUCACAACAGGCAGGCGGAAUUCGUGGUGUAGCGGUGAAAUGCAUAGAUAUCACGAGGAACCCCGAUUGCGAAGGCAGCCUGCCGGGGUGCGACUGACGCUGAGGCUCGAAGGUGCGGGUAUCAAACAGGAUUAGAUACCCUGGUAGUC
Molecule: ribosomal RNA, 460 nt
Filed under: uncultured bacterium
Lineage: Bacteria
Description: partial 16S ribosomal RNA
Rfam family: Bacterial small subunit ribosomal RNA
Source: RNAcentral